CUUGCUCCAUCUCGACUACUAGAUCUACGACUUCUUCUACUUUCAGUUGUUUUUGGCAUCCCAGUCUGUACAGGUGCACUCAUUUUUAUAUGCUGAGACGAAACGGUUUUUCCUGACCUGUAAUUUGAAGCUUUAUGAUCAUCAUGAAAAGGGAUGACUGUGUUGCCUUCCUGCGCGCUGCCUGAGUCGGUGGGUGUGGGUGAUACACCAGUUUCAAAACUACGGCUUCUUUUGCUUUCAGUAGUUUUUGACAUCCCAGUUUGUAUAGGUGCAGUCAUUUUCAUAUGCUGAGACGAAACAGUUUUUCCUGACCUGUGAUUUGAAGCUUUAUGAUCAUCAAAAGGGAUGACUGUUUUGCCUGCCUGCGUGCUGCCUGAGUCGUCGGUGGGUGUGGGUGACAAACCAGUUUCAGAUCUACGGCUUCUUCUGCUUUCAGUUGUUUUUGGCAUCCCAGUUUGUACAGGUUCACUCGUUUUUAUAUGCUGAGACGAAACGGUUUCCCCUGACAUGUAAUUUGAAGCUUUAUGAUCAUCAAAAGGGAUGACUGCAGCCUGCGUGCUGCCUGAGUCGGUGGGUGUGGGUGAUACACCGGUUUCAGAACUACAGCUCCUGCUUUCAGUUGUUUUUGGCAUCCCAGUUUGUACAGGUUCACUCGUUUUUAGAUGCUGAGACGAAACGGUUUUUCCUGACCUGUAAUUUGAACCUUUAUGAUCAUCAA
Molecule: long non-coding RNA, 718 nt
Filed under: Sorghum bicolor (sorghum)
Lineage: Eukaryota; Viridiplantae; Streptophyta; Magnoliopsida; Poales; Poaceae
Description: long non-coding RNA (SBIC_LNC016810)
Source: RNAcentral